ACUCCUACGGGAGGCAGCAGUGGGGAAUAUUGCACAAUGGGCGCAAGCCUGAUGCAGCAACGCCGUGUGAGUGAAGAAGGUUUUCGGAUCGUAAAACUCUGUCCUAAGGGAAGAAACAAAUGACGGUACCUUAGGAGGAAGCCCCGGCUAACUACGUGCCAGCAGCCGCGGUAAUACGUAGGGGGCAAGCGUUAUCCGGAAUCACUGGGCGUAAAGGGUGCGUAGGCGGCUUAGCAAGCCAGGGGUGAAAGGCAUUGGCUCAACCAAUGUAAGCCUUUGGAACUGUUAAGCUUGAGUGCAGGAGAGGUAAGUGGAAUUCCUAGUGUAGAGGUGAAAUUCGUAGAUAUUAGGAGGAACACCAGUGGCGAAGGCGACUUACUGGAACUGUAACUGACGCUGAUGCACGAAAGCGUGGGGAGCAAACAGGAUUAGAUACCCUUUAGCACAGAG
This 450-nucleotide ribosomal RNA is filed under the name uncultured bacterium. RNAcentral describes it as "bacterial SSU rRNA". It matches the Rfam family "Bacterial small subunit ribosomal RNA", at positions 335 to 799 of the family's 1533-position model. The record is from RNAcentral.